Molecule: ribosomal RNA, 253 nt
Filed under: uncultured bacterium
Lineage: Bacteria
Description: partial 16S ribosomal RNA
Rfam family: Bacterial small subunit ribosomal RNA
Source: RNAcentral
UACGGAGGAUCCAAGCGUUAUCCGGAUUUAUUGGGUUUAAAGGGUGCGUAGGCGGAUUAGUAAGUCAGUGGUGAAAGCCUGCAGCUUAACUGUAGAACUGCCAUUGAUACUGCUAAUCUUGAAUAUAGUUGAGGUAGGCGGAAUAUGACAUGUAGCGGUGAAAUGCUUAGAUAUGUCAUAGAACACCGAUUGCGAAGGCAGCUUGCUAAGCUAUUAUUGACGCUGAGGCACGAAAGCGUGGGUAGCAAACAGG